RNAcentral lists this ribosomal RNA (563 nucleotides) under Terribacillus saccharophilus. RNAcentral describes it as "bacterial SSU rRNA". It matches the Rfam family "Bacterial small subunit ribosomal RNA", at positions 556 to 1118 of the family's 1533-position model. Lineage: Bacteria; Bacillati; Bacillota; Bacilli; Caryophanales; Bacillaceae. The record is from RNAcentral.
GGGCGUAAGGGCUCGUAGGCGGUUUCUUAAGUCUGAUGUGAAAGCCCACAGCUCAACUGUGGAGGGUCAUUGGAAACUGGGGAACUUGAGUGCACAAGAGGAGAGUGGAAUUCCACGUGUAGCGGUGAAAUGCGUAGAUAUGUGGAGGAACACCAGUGGCGAAGGCGACUCUCUGGUCUGUAACUGACGCUGAGGAGCGAAAGCGUGGGGAGCAAACAGGAUUAGAUACCCUGGUAGUCCACGCCGUAAACGAUGAGUGCUAGGUGUUAGGGGGUUUCCGCCCCUUAGUGCUGAAGUUAACGCAUUAAGCACUCCGCCUGGGGAGUACGGCCGCAAGGCUGAAACUCAAAAGAAUUGACGGGGGCCCGCACAAGCGGUGGAGCAUGUGGUUUAAUUCGAAUCUACGCGAAGAACCUUACCAGGUCUUGACAUCCGGUGAGGGCUCUGGAGACAGAGCGUUCCCUUCGGGGACAGCGUGACAGGUGGUGCAUGGUUGUCGUCAGCUCGUGUCGUGAGAUGUUGGGUUAAGUCCCGCAACGAGCGCAACCCUUGAUUCUAGUUGC